RNAcentral lists this ribosomal RNA (1837 nucleotides) under Klebsiella pneumoniae UCI 56. Its description in RNAcentral is "bacterial SSU rRNA". The stretch from base 656 to 1837 matches the Rfam family "Bacterial small subunit ribosomal RNA". The record is from RNAcentral. Lineage: Bacteria; Pseudomonadati; Pseudomonadota; Gammaproteobacteria; Enterobacterales; Enterobacteriaceae.
CGACUUAUAUUCUGUAGCAAGGUUAACCGUAUAGGGGAGCCGCAGGGAAACCGAGUCUUAACUGGGCGUUAAGUUGCAGGGUAUAGACCCGAAACCCGGUGAUCUAGCCAUGGGCAGGUUGAAGGUUGGGUAACACUAACUGGAGGACCGAACCGACUAAUGUUGAAAAAUUAGCGGAUGACUUGUGGCUGGGGGUGAAAGGCCAAUCAAACCGGGAGAUAGCUGGUUCUCCCCGAAAGCUAUUUAGGUAGCGCCUCGUGAAUUCAUCUUCGGGGGUAGAGCACUGUUUCGGCUAGGGGGUCAUCCCGACUUACCAACCCGAUGCAAACUACGAAUACCGAAGAAUGUUAUCACGGGAGACACACGGCGGGUGCUAACGUCCGUCGUGAAGAGGGAAACAACCCAGACCGCCAGCUAAGGUCCCAAAGUCAUGGUUAAGUGGGAAACGAUGUGGGAAGGCACAGACAGCCAGGAUGUUGGCUUAGAAGCAGCCAUCAUUUAAAGAAAGCGUAAUAGCUCACUGGUCGAGUCGGCCUGCGCGGAAGAUGUAACGGGGCUAAACCAUGCACCGAAGCUGCGGCAGCGACACUAUGUGUUGUUGGGUAGGGGAGCGUUCUGUAAGCCUGCGAAGGUGACCUGUGAGGGUUGCUGGAGGUAUCAGAAGUGCGAAUGCUGACAUAAGUAACGAUAAAGCGGGUGAAAAGCCCGCUCGCCGGAAGACCAAGGGUUCCUGUCCAACGUUAAUCGGGGCAGGGUGAGUCGACCCCUAAGGCGNCGAUUGACGUUACCCGCAGAAGAAGCACCGGCUAACUCCGUGCCAGCAGCCGCGGUAAUACGGAGGGUGCAAGCGUUAAUCGGAAUUACUGGGCGUAAAGCGCACGCAGGCGGUCUGUCAAGUCGGAUGUGAAAUCCCCGGGCUCAACCUGGGAACUGCAUUCGAAACUGGCAGGCUAGAGUCUUGUAGAGGGGGGUAGAAUUCCAGGUGUAGCGGUGAAAUGCGUAGAGAUCUGGAGGAAUACCGGUGGCGAAGGCGGCCCCCUGGACAAAGACUGACGCUCAGGUGCGAAAGCGUGGGGAGCAAACAGGAUUAGAUACCCUGGUAGUCCACGCCGUAAACGAUGUCGAUUUGGAGGUUGUGCCCUUGAGGCGUGGCUUCCGGAGCUAACGCGUUAAAUCGACCGCCUGGGGAGUACGGCCGCAAGGUUAAAACUCAAAUGAAUUGACGGGGGCCCGCACAAGCGGUGGAGCAUGUGGUUUAAUUCGAUGCAACGCGAAGAACCUUACCUGGUCUUGACAUCCACAGAACUUUCCAGAGAUGGAUUGGUGCCUUCGGGAACUGUGAGACAGGUGCUGCAUGGCUGUCGUCAGCUCGUGUUGUGAAAUGUUGGGUUAAGUCCCGCAACGAGCGCAACCCUUAUCCUUUGUUGCCAGCGGUCCGGCCGGGAACUCAAAGGAGACUGCCAGUGAUAAACUGGAGGAAGGUGGGGAUGACGUCAAGUCAUCAUGGCCCUUACGACCAGGGCUACACACGUGCUACAAUGGCAUAUACAAAGAGAAGCGACCUCGCGAGAGCAAGCGGACCUCAUAAAGUAUGUCGUAGUCCGGAUUGGAGUCUGCAACUCGACUCCAUGAAGUCGGAAUCGCUAGUAAUCGUAGAUCAGAAUGCUACGGUGAAUACGUUCCCGGGCCUUGUACACACCGCCCGUCACACCAUGGGAGUGGGUUGCAAAAGAAGUAGGUAGCUUAACCUUCGGGAGGGCGCUUACCACUUUGUGAUUCAUGACUGGGGUGAAGUCGUAACAAGGUAACCGUAGGGGAACCUGCGGUUGGAUCACCU